Molecule: ribosomal RNA, 530 nt
Filed under: uncultured marine eukaryote
Lineage: Eukaryota
Description: SSU rRNA
Rfam family: Eukaryotic small subunit ribosomal RNA
Source: RNAcentral
UAGUCAUACGCUCGUCUCAAAGAUUAAGCCAUGCAUGUCUAAGUAUAAAUAUUUUACUUUGAAACUGCGAACGGCUCAUUAUAUCAGUAAUAAUUUAUUUGAUGGUUCCUUACUACAUGGAUAACCGUAGUAAUUCUAGAGCUAAUACAUGCGUAAAGUCCUGACUCUUGCGGGGAGGGAUGUAUUUAUUAGAUAAAAAACCAAUGCGCCUUCGGGCGGUUUUGUGGUGAAUCAUAGUAACUAAUCGGAUCGCAUGGCCUCGUGCCGGCGACAGUUCAUUCAAAUUUCUGCCCUAUCAGCUUUCGACGGUAGUGUAGUGGACUACCGUGGCGUUAACGGGUAACGGAGAAUUAGGGUUCGAUUCCGGAGAGGGAGCCUGAGAAACGGCUACCACAUCCAAGGAAGGCAGCAGGCGCGCAAAUUACCCAAUCCUGACACAGGAGGGUAGUGACGAACAAUAACAAUAUCGGGCUUUUUCAAGUCUGAUAAUUGGAAUGAGUACAAUUUAAAUCCCUUAACGAGGAUCCACU